UCUGCUUUCAAAUGAUGUAUAGAUUCAUAAUUCCUCUAGCACCAUUUGAAAUCAGUUU
RNAcentral lists this microRNA precursor (58 nucleotides) under Lottia gigantea (owl limpet). RNAcentral describes it as "Lgi-Mir-29-P2_pre stem-loop". Lineage: Eukaryota; Metazoa; Mollusca; Gastropoda; Lottiidae. The record is from RNAcentral.